AUUGAACGCUGGCGGCAGGCCUAACACAUGCAAGUCGAGCGGAUGAAGGGAGCUUGCUCCUGGAUUCAGCGGCGGACGGGUGAGUAAUGCCUAGGAAUCUGCCUGGUAGUGGGGGAUAACGUCCGGAAACGGGCGCUAAUACCGCAUACGUCCUGAGGGAGAAAGUGGGGGAUCUUCGGACCUCACGCUAUCAGAUGAGCCUAGGUCGGAUUAGCUAGUUGGUGGGGUAAAGGUCUACCAAGGCGACGAUCCGUAACUGGUCUGAGAGGAUGAUCAGUCACACUGGAACUGAGACACGGUCCAGACUCCUACGGGAGGCAGCAGUGGGGAAUAUUGGACAAUGGGCGAAAGCCUGAUCCAGCCAUGCCGCGUGUGUGAAGAAGGUCUUCGGAUUGUAAAGCACUUUAAGUUGGGAGGAAGGGCAGUAAGUUAAUACCUUGCUGUUUUGACGUUACCAACAGAAUAAGCACCGGCUAACCUCGUG
RNAcentral lists this ribosomal RNA (484 nucleotides) under uncultured bacterium. Its description in RNAcentral is "partial 16S ribosomal RNA". It matches the Rfam family "Bacterial small subunit ribosomal RNA", at positions 30 to 507 of the family's 1533-position model. The record is from RNAcentral.